This 460-nucleotide ribosomal RNA is filed under the name uncultured bacterium. RNAcentral describes it as "bacterial SSU rRNA". It matches the Rfam family "Bacterial small subunit ribosomal RNA", at positions 34 to 507 of the family's 1533-position model. The record is from RNAcentral.
CGCUGGCGGCGUGCUUAACACAUGCAAGUCGAACGGUGAAGGGAAGCUUGCUUCCCGGAUCAGUGGCGAACGGGUGAGUAACACGUGGGCAAUCUGCCCCAGACUUUGGGAUAACUACUCGAAAGAGUAGCUAAUACCGAAUAUUCAGCCUUGCAGGUAUCUGCGAGGCUGGAAAGUUUCUCGGUCUGGGAUGAGCCCGCGGCCUAUCAGCUAGUUGGUGAGGUAAUGGCUCACCAAGGCGACGACGGGUAGCCGGCCUGAGAGGGCGACCGGCCACACUGGGACUGAGACACGGCCCAGACUCCUACGGGAGGCAGCAGUGGGGAAUAUUGCGCAAUGGGCGAAAGCCUGACGCAGCAACGCCGCGUGCGGGAUGAAGGCCUUCGGGUUGUAAACCGCUUUCAGCAGGGAAGAAGCGAAAGUGACGGUACCUGCAGAAGAAGCACCGGCUAACUACGUG